UACAGAUAUGGCAAGAUGAAUUUGAUG
Molecule: non-coding RNA, 27 nt
Filed under: Bombyx mori (domestic silkworm)
Lineage: Eukaryota; Metazoa; Arthropoda; Insecta; Lepidoptera; Bombycidae
Source: RNAcentral